UACAGGGGUCUCAAGCGUUGUUCGGAUUCAUUGGGCGUAAAGGGUGCGUAGGCGGCGCGGUAAGUCGGGUGUGAAAUCUCGGAGCUUAACUCCGAAACUGCAUUCGAUACUGCCGUGCUUGGGGACUGGAGAGGAGACUGGAAUUUACGGUGUAGCGGUGAAAUGCGUAGAUAUCGUAAGGAAGACCAGUGGCGAAGGCGGGUCUCUGGACAGUUCCUGACGCUGAGGCACGAAGGUCAGGGGGGCAAACGGG
Molecule: ribosomal RNA, 253 nt
Filed under: uncultured bacterium
Lineage: Bacteria
Description: partial 16S ribosomal RNA
Rfam family: Bacterial small subunit ribosomal RNA
Source: RNAcentral